CACAUGCAAGUCGAGGGGCAGCAUGUCCAGCAAUGGAUGAUGGCGACCGGCGGAAGGGUGCGUAACGCGUGAGCAACAUGCCCUAUACAGGGAGAUACACCAGGGAAACUUGGUCUAAUAUCCCAUAGCAUUCAUUGAAGGCAUCUUUAAUGAAUUAAAGCUUCGGUGGUAUAGGAUUGGCUCGCGUGACAUUAGCCAGAUGGUGAGGUAACGGCUCACCAUAGCAAUGAUGUCUAGGGGUUUUGAGAGGAAGGCCCCCCACACUGGGACUGAGACACGGCCCAGACUCCUACGGGAGGCAGCAGUGAGGAAUAUUGGACAAUGGAUGGAAAUCUGAUCCAGCCAUGCCGCGUGCAGGAAGACGGCCUUAUGGGUUGUAAACUGCUUUUAUACGGGAGCAAUAAGGGUUACGCGUAAUCCGAUGAGAGUACUGUAUGAAUAAGGAUCGGCUAACUCCGUGCCAGCAGCCGCGGUAAUACGGAGG
Molecule: ribosomal RNA, 484 nt
Filed under: uncultured eubacterium WJGRT-184
Lineage: Bacteria
Description: bacterial SSU rRNA
Rfam family: Bacterial small subunit ribosomal RNA
Source: RNAcentral